This 805-nucleotide ribosomal RNA is filed under the name uncultured organism. RNAcentral's name for it is "bacterial SSU rRNA". It matches the Rfam family "Bacterial small subunit ribosomal RNA", at positions 41 to 827 of the family's 1533-position model. The record is from RNAcentral.
GGCGGGGUUUAGGCAUGCAAGUCGAGGGAGAAAGCCCUUCGGGGUGAGUACACGGCGCAAGGGUGAGUAAUGGCUAGUUAAUGUACCUCGAGGACCUGGAUAAUUCCCCGAAAGGGGUUGUAAAACGGGAUGAGACCACGUGUACCACGGUGCAGGUGAUCAAAGUCGUGGGAUCCUUCGGGACCACGAGCCUCGGGAGCGGACUAGCUCCGAUUAGCUUGUUGGUGGGGUCACGGCCUACCAAGGCGAUGAUCGGUAGCCGGCCUGAGAGGGUGUUCGGCCACACUGGGACUGAGACACUGCCCAGACUCCUACGGGAGGCUGCAGUCGCGAAUCUUCCACAAUGGGCGCAAGCCUGAUGGAGCCACGCCGCGUGCAGGACGAAGGCUUUAGGGUCGUAAACUGCUGUCGAGAUGGGGGAAGGGCGUACGGUGAAUAGUCGUGCGCUUGACUGCCAUCUGAAGGAAGCACCGGCUAAACACGUGCCUGCAGCCGCGGUGAUACGUGUGGUGCAAGCGUUGUUCGGAAUUACUGGGCAUAAAGGGUGCGUAGGCGGCCCGUUAAGUCAGGGGUGAAAGCCGUUGGCCCAACCAACGAAUUGCCUCUGAUACUGAUGGGCUCGAGUGUGCUAGGGGUGAGCGGAACGAGUGGUGUAGCGGUGAAAUGCGUAGAUAUCACUCGGAAGGCCGGAGCCGAAGGGGGCUCACUGGGGCACAACUGACGCUGAUGCACGAAAGCGUGGGGAGCAAACAGGAUUAGAUACCCUGGUAGUCCACGCCGUAGACGUUGAGCACUAGGUGGAUGG